RNAcentral lists this ribosomal RNA (1194 nucleotides) under Triticum aestivum (bread wheat). RNAcentral's name for it is "partial small subunit ribosomal RNA". Lineage: Eukaryota; Viridiplantae; Streptophyta; Magnoliopsida; Poales; Poaceae. The record is from RNAcentral.
AUGGGGGGCCUGGAGGGGAACAAUGGGACUUGUCCGAACAAUGCCGCCUCAGCGCCGGUUGGAGGAGAUAUCUGGCGUGACAAUGGCGACGAUGGGUUGGCCGGCCAGCCGAUCGUGGCUCAUGCAGAUGUAGGCAACCGCAUCGGCGGACACGGGCGAAUGGCAAAGGCACAUGACGCAGCCGCUACCUUCCCUCCUUGGUGUCGGGAUGGUCGCCAGCUGCAUGCUUGGCCCAGAGGCGGAGCUCCUCCGCCCGAUUCCGCGUCGAGCCUGUGCUGCCGCUGGUUUGUGCUGUCGUGCUGGCUAGACCUUCCUGACGAUGUGAAAAGUUGUCUCCAUGACGUUUUUGCAGAAAACCCCUUCCCAAACUUCCGACACAACCUGCGCUCCUCGUUGUCUUCAAUCGACGCUUUGACACAGACGCAUGGACGCCGGAGCUUCCCUGCUCGGAUUCGUCGCGCUGCUUCCCUGCUCUCCCGCGUCGUAGCUCCCUUAGCUUCGCCGCGCUGCUCUCCCGCGCGUCCUCCUCCGUUGCUCCCUCUUGCCUUGCGCAGCUCCCCUGCCUCCCAAAUCUUCCCUCUUUCACACCCAAAAUCGUUUCUUCUUCCUCCUGCUUGCGUGCGGCGACGACACGUCCUCCUCGUUGCCCCCGACGCCGGAGGAGGCACGGGGCAAGCAGCAGCGGAGGAGAAAGGGGAUUCCGUUCGCCGCCAAGGCGCCCUGGGCAUGCUCCUCGAGUCCCUGCUCCUCGGGCCCCUCAUCACCUCCCUCCUCAAGAAGCAGAACAACAUGACGCAGGUCCUCUCCUCCCUUGAGACCAAGGGCAUCAACCUCCCCAACUUGAAUUUGUGUUGUUGUUACUUGACAUGUUUGUGUUCCUCAUUUGGAGUCAGGCUGUGGCAUGGGACACCUAUCCUUGUGGUCAUCAGCAUCCUGGCAUACUUCUGCUUCUUGGAGCAAUUGCUGGUUGCGCAUAACGGCUUCGCCGCCCUGGCGAUUUCGCUGCCCUUCUCAUGCAUCCUAGGCCUCUUCUCAUCACUGACCACAACAAGCAUGGCGCGUAUCUGCAGGGGCGAGGAUAUGUGGAUCUUCGCGGCGAUCCAGUUCCUCUUCGUCGUGUUCUUCACAACUCUGUUCUACAGAUAUCUGCAUCUGCAGGCUGUGAUUUCCAUCAUCCUGGCAACCUUACCAUGA